CCGCACUUUCCAUUCGCUGUCGAGCUCAGGCAGCCAUGUGAUGAAGUUCUGCUCUUCCCUCACACCUUCUCAUCCUGAGGAUGGAAUAAGAUGCUUUCAAACGACGAUGCCUCUUUAGCAAACAAGGAUUUCGCGGAUGUGCUUUCUAACCGAGAAUGUUCGUUUAUCCGUUUCACAUCCAGAUGACCGGGUUUUCGAUGCCAUGAGGGAGCCCAAGAAGAAUAGGCAGCUGUAGCUCGGAGUCGCCCGCAGGAGGAAGUGGAGGCAGCGCUGCCUCAUGAGGCUGAUGCAACAUGAGGGUCGGCGGACCAAUAAAGGAGGCUACAGGAAUCAUGGGAAGGAUGUGAUCUGGAUACACAGAGCUCACAGAUCAUCAUAUGAAGAUGACGAGGAUGAUUCAAUGAAAGGGUAAAAUGUAUAAUAUUAAUAAUAAUAAUAUAUAUAUCUUGAUUAAUGCUGAUUAAUCACAUCCAAAAUAAAAGUUUGUGUUUACAUUAUACAUGUUUACUGUGUACAUGUAUAUAUAAAUACACACUCGUACAUAUACAUAUAUAUUUAAGAAAUAUAUGUAAUAUAUAUUUAUACGUAUUAAAUAUGAAUAUAUGUACAUGUAAAUAUAUAUAUGUAUGUGUAUUUAUAUAUAUAUAUAUAUAUAUAUAUAUAUAUAAUGUAAACACAAACUUUUAUUUUGGAUGCGAUUAAUCAGCAUUAAUCGAUUUAACAGCCAUUAUAUAUAUGACCAUACUAAGAAGUUUGAAUAUAAAUAAAUAAAUAAAC
Molecule: long non-coding RNA, 777 nt
Organism: Labeo rohita (rohu)
Lineage: Eukaryota; Metazoa; Chordata; Actinopteri; Cypriniformes; Cyprinidae
Exons: 3
Source: RefSeq, a predicted model, not a curated record